RNAcentral lists this unclassified non-coding RNA (404 nucleotides) under uncultured fungus. RNAcentral's name for it is "partial contains 5.8S ribosomal RNA and internal transcribed spacer 2". The stretch from base 1 to 133 matches the Rfam family "5.8S ribosomal RNA", at positions 22 to 154 of the family's 154-position model. Lineage: Eukaryota; Fungi. The record is from RNAcentral.
UGGCUCUCGCAUCGAUGAAGAACGCAGCGAAAUGCGAUAAGUAAUGUGAAUUGCAGAAUUCAGUGAAUCAUCGAAUCUUUGAACGCACCUUGCGCCCCUUGGUAUUCCGAGGGGCAUGCCUGUUUGAGUGUCAUGUAAUUCUCAAUCCUCUUCUUCUUAAUUGGGGGAAGGGGUUUGGACCUGGAGGUAUAUGUAAUGCUGGUACUCCCUGUAUCGGCUCCUCUCAAAUGCAUUAGCUGGACUGUAGUUCGCGUUGUUUGGUGUAAUAGUCUUCUAUUUAUAUUCACUACAGCGCUUACUUGGACUGUCUGCUUCCAAUUGUCCGCCUAUGUGCCGGACAGGUACUCUGUUACCUUAAAUCAUUUGACCCCUUUGACCUCAAAUCAGGUAGGACUACCCGCUGA